This 253-nucleotide ribosomal RNA is filed under the name uncultured bacterium. RNAcentral's name for it is "partial 16S ribosomal RNA". It matches the Rfam family "Bacterial small subunit ribosomal RNA", at positions 524 to 776 of the family's 1533-position model. The record is from RNAcentral.
UACGUAGGGUGCGAGCGUUAAUCGGAAUUACUGGGCGUAAAGCGUGCGCAGGCGGUUUGUUAAGUCUGAUGUGAAAGCCCCGGGCUCAACCUGGGAAUGGCAUUGGAAACUGGCAAGCUCGCGUUUGGCAGAGGGGGGUGGAAUUCCGCGUGUAGCAGUGAAAUGCGUAGAGAUGCGGAGGAACACCGAUGGCGAAGGCAGCCCCCUGGGCUAACACUGACGCUCAUACACGAAAGCGUGGAGAGCAAACAGG